CUACGGGGGGCACCAGUGGGGGAUAUUGCACAAUGGGCGAAAGCCUGAUGCAGCAACGCCGCGUGAAGGAUGACGGAUUUCGGCCUGUAAACUUCUAUCAGCAGGGAAGAAAAUGACGGUACCUGACUAAGAAGCCCCGGCUAACUACGUGCCAGCAGCCGCGGUAAUACGUAGGGGGCAAGCGUUAUCCGGAAUUACUGGGUGUAAAGGGUACGUAGGCGGCUGAUCAAGUCAGAUGUGAAAGCCCGGAGCUCAACUCCGGGAUUGCAUUUGAAACUGGUCGGCUAGAGUGCAGGAGAGGAAAGUGGAAUUCCUAGUGUAGCGGUGAAAUGCGUAGAUAUUAGGAAGAACACCAGUGGCGAAGGCGGCUUUCUGGACUGUAACUGACGCUGAGGUACGAAAGCGUGGGGAGCGAACAGGAUUAGAUACCCGAGUAGUC
RNAcentral lists this ribosomal RNA (439 nucleotides) under uncultured bacterium. RNAcentral's name for it is "partial 16S ribosomal RNA". It matches the Rfam family "Bacterial small subunit ribosomal RNA", at positions 339 to 795 of the family's 1533-position model. The record is from RNAcentral.